Molecule: ribosomal RNA, 2904 nt
Filed under: Enterobacter sp. Z1
Lineage: Bacteria; Pseudomonadati; Pseudomonadota; Gammaproteobacteria; Enterobacterales; Enterobacteriaceae
Description: 23S ribosomal RNA
Rfam family: Bacterial large subunit ribosomal RNA
Source: RNAcentral
GGUUAAGCGACUAAGCGUACACGGUGGAUGCCCUGGCAGUCAGAGGCGAUGAAGGACGUGUUAAUCUGCGAAAAGCGCCGGCGAGGUGAUAUGAACCUUUGACCCGGCGAUGUCCGAAUGGGGAAACCCAGUGUGUUCCGACACACUAUCGUUAACUGAAUACAUAGGUUAACGAGGCGAACCGGGGGAACUGAAACAUCUAAGUACCCCGAGGAAAAGAAAUCAACCGAGAUUCCCCCAGUAGCGGCGAGCGAACGGGGAGCAGCCCAGAGUCUGAAUCAGCUUGUGUGUUAGUGGAAGCGUCUGGAAAGUCGCACGGUACAGGGUGACAGUCCCGUACACGAAAGCACACAGGCUGUGAACUCGAAGAGUAGGGCGGGACACGUGGUAUCCUGUCUGAAUAUGGGGGGACCAUCCUCCAAGGCUAAAUACUCCUGACUGACCGAUAGUGAACCAGUACCGUGAGGGAAAGGCGAAAAGAACCCCGGCGAGGGGAGUGAAAAAGAACCUGAAACCGUGUACGUACAAGCAGUGGGAGCCUCUUUUAUGGGGUGACUGCGUACCUUUUGUAUAAUGGGUCAGCGACUUAUAUUCUGUAGCAAGGUUAACCGUAUAGGGGAGCCGAAGGGAAACCGAGUCUUAACUGGGCGUUAAGUUGCAGGGUAUAGACCCGAAACCCGGUGAUCUAGCCAUGGGCAGGUUGAAGGUUGGGUAACACUAACUGGAGGACCGAACCGACUAAUGUUGAAAAAUUAGCGGAUGACUUGUGGCUGGGGGUGAAAGGCCAAUCAAACCGGGAGAUAGCUGGUUCUCCCCGAAAGCUAUUUAGGUAGCGCCUCGUGAAUUCAUCUUCGGGGGUAGAGCACUGUUUCGGCUAGGGGGCCAUCCCGGCUUACCAACCCGAUGCAAACUACGAAUACCGAAGAAUGUUAUCACGGGAGACACACGGCGGGUGCUAACGUCCGUCGUGAAGAGGGAAACAACCCAGACCGCCAGCUAAGGUCCCAAAGUCAUGGUUAAGUGGGAAACGAUGUGGGAAGGCACAGACAGCCAGGAUGUUGGCUUAGAAGCAGCCAUCAUUUAAAGAAAGCGUAAUAGCUCACUGGUCGAGUCGGCCUGCGCGGAAGAUGUAACGGGGCUAAACCAUGCACCGAAGCUGCGGCAGCGACACUAUGUGUUGUUGGGUAGGGGAGCGUUCUGUAAGCCGUUGAAGGUGUCCUGUGAGGGGUGCUGGAGGUAUCAGAAGUGCGAAUGCUGACAUAAGUAACGAUAAAGCGGGUGAAAAGCCCGCUCGCCGGAAGACCAAGGGUUCCUGUCCAACGUUAAUCGGGGCAGGGUGAGUCGACCCCUAAGGCGAGGCCGAAAGGCGUAGUCGAUGGGAAACAGGUUAAUAUUCCUGUACUUGGUGUUACUGCGAAGGGGGACGGAGAAGGCUAUGUUAGCCGGGCGACGGUUGUCCCGGUUUAAGCAUGUAGGCGGAGGUUCCAGGUAAAUCCGGUUCCUUGUUAACGCUGAGGUGUGAUGACGAGGCACUACGGUGCUGAAGUAACAAAUGCCCUGCUUCCAGGAAAAGCCUCUAAGCAUCAGGUAACAUCAAAUCGUACCCCAAACCGACACAGGUGGUCAGGUAGAGAAUACCAAGGCGCUUGAGAGAACUCGGGUGAAGGAACUAGGCAAAAUGGUGCCGUAACUUCGGGAGAAGGCACGCUGAUAUGUAGGUGAAGCCCCUGCGGGUGGAGCUGAAAUCAGUCGAAGAUACCAGCUGGCUGCAACUGUUUAUUAAAAACACAGCACUGUGCAAACACGAAAGUGGACGUAUACGGUGUGACGCCUGCCCGGUGCCGGAAGGUUAAUUGAUGGGGUUAGCGGUAACGCGAAGCUCUUGAUCGAAGCCCCGGUAAACGGCGGCCGUAACUAUAACGGUCCUAAGGUAGCGAAAUUCCUUGUCGGGUAAGUUCCGACCUGCACGAAUGGCGUAAUGAUGGCCAGGCUGUCUCCACCCGAGACUCAGUGAAAUUGAACUCGCUGUGAAGAUGCAGUGUACCCGCGGCAAGACGGAAAGACCCCGUGAACCUUUACUAUAGCUUGACACUGAACACUGGUCCUUGAUGUGUAGGAUAGGUGGGAGGCUUUGAAGCGUGGACGCCAGUCUGCGUGGAGCCAACCUUGAAAUACCACCCUUUAAUGGCUGGUGUUCUAACGUAGACCCGUGAUCCGGGUUGCGGACAGUGUCUGGUGGGUAGUUUGACUGGGGCGGUCUCCUCCCAAAGAGUAACGGAGGAGCACGAAGGUUAGCUAAUCCUGGUCGGACAUCAGGAGGUUAGUGCAAUGGCAUAAGCUAGCUUGACUGCGAGAGUGACGGCUCGAGCAGGUGCGAAAGCAGGUCAUAGUGAUCCGGUGGUUCUGAAUGGAAGGGCCAUCGCUCAACGGAUAAAAGGUACUCCGGGGAUAACAGGCUGAUACCGCCCAAGAGUUCAUAUCGACGGCGGUGUUUGGCACCUCGAUGUCGGCUCAUCACAUCCUGGGGCUGAAGUAGGUCCCAAGGGUAUGGCUGUUCGCCAUUUAAAGUGGUACGCGAGCUGGGUUUAGAACGUCGUGAGACAGUUCGGUCCCUAUCUGCCGUGGGCGCUGGAGAAUUGAGGGGGCUGCUCCUAGUACGAGAGGACCGGAGUGGACGCAUCACUGGUGUUCGGGUUGUCAUGCCAAUGGCACUGCCCGGUAGCUAAAUGCGGAAGAGAUAAGUGCUGAAAGCAUCUAAGCACGAAACUUGCCCCGAGAUGAGUUCUCCCUGAGACUUUAAGUCUCCUGAAGGAACGUUGAAGACUACGACGUUGAUAGGUCGGGUGUGUAAGCGCAGCGAUGCGUUGAGCUAACCGAUACUAAUGAACCGUGAGGCUUAACCUU